RNAcentral lists this ribosomal RNA (591 nucleotides) under uncultured archaeon. RNAcentral's name for it is "bacterial SSU rRNA". It matches the Rfam family "Archaeal small subunit ribosomal RNA", at positions 1 to 589 of the family's 1478-position model. The record is from RNAcentral.
UUUCCGGUUGAUCCCGCCGGAGGCCACUGCUAUCGGGGUCCGACUAAGCCAUGCGAGUCAUGGGGCUCCCUUCGGGGAGCACCGGCGCACGGCUCAGUAACACGUGGCUAACCUACCCUCGGGUGGGGGAUAACCUCGGGAAACUGAGGCUAAUCCCCCAUAGGGGAGGAGGUCUGGAAUGAUCCCUCCCCGAAAGGCGUAAGCCGCCCGAGGAUGGGGCUGCGGCGGAUUAGGUAGUUGGUGGGGUAAUGGCCCACCAAGCCUACGAUCCGUACGGGCCCUGAGAGGGGGAGCCCGGAGAUGGACACUGAGACACGGGUCCAGGCCCUACGGGGCGCAGCAGGCGCGAAACCUCCGCAAUGCGCGAAAGCGCGACGGGGGGACCCCGAGUGCCCACGCUCUGCGUGGGCUUUUCCGGAGUGUAAACAGCUCCGGGAAUAAGGGCUGGGCAAGUCCGGUGCCAGCAGCCGCGGUAAUACCGGCGGCCCAAGUGGUGGCCACUGUUAUUGGGCCUAAAGCGUCCGUAGCCGGCCCGGUAAGUCUCUGCUUAAAUCCUGCGGCUCAACCGCAGGGCUGGCAGAGAUACUGCCG